RNAcentral lists this signal recognition particle RNA (97 nucleotides) under Gammaproteobacteria bacterium. Its description in RNAcentral is "signal recognition particle sRNA small type". It matches the Rfam family "Bacterial small signal recognition particle RNA". Rfam says of the family: The signal recognition particle (SRP) is a universally conserved ribonucleoprotein involved in the co-translational targeting of proteins to membranes. Archaeal SRP consists of a 7S RNA and homologues of the eukaryotic SRP19 and SRP54 proteins. In most bacteria, the SRP consists of a 4.5S RNA and the Ffh protein (a homologue of the eukaryotic SRP54 protein). The record is from RNAcentral. Lineage: Bacteria; Pseudomonadati; Pseudomonadota; Gammaproteobacteria.
UGCCGGCCCCCUCGCAACGGCUAGUUGUAAACCCCGUCAGGCCUGGAAGGGAGCAGCGGUAGCGACGAACUCGUGUGCCGGGGUGUGGUGGGUGCAG